AUAUUGCACCUUGUGGGCAACCCUGAUGCAGCGUCGCCGCGUGAGCGAAGAAGGCCUCCGGGUCUUCAAGCUCUGUCCUGAGGGAAGAAACGAACGGUACCAUCGCUGGAAUCCACGACUGACUCGGUGUCAGCAGGCGCGGUAAUACGUAGGGGGCGUGCGUUAUCCGGAAUUAUUGGGCGUAAAUGUUGCGUAGGCAGCCUUUUAAGUCAGAUGUGAAAGGCUACGGCUUAACCGUAGUUAGCAUUUGAAACUAAAAGGCUUGAGUGCAGGAGAGGAGAGUGGAAUUCCUAGUGUAGCGGUGAAAUGCGUAGAUAUUAGGAGGAACACCAGUGGCGAAGGCGACUCUCUGGACUGCAACUGACGCUGAGGCACGAAAGCGUGGGGAGCGAACA
This 395-nucleotide ribosomal RNA is filed under the name uncultured bacterium. RNAcentral describes it as "partial 16S ribosomal RNA". It matches the Rfam family "Bacterial small subunit ribosomal RNA", at positions 361 to 774 of the family's 1533-position model. The record is from RNAcentral.